GACGAACGCUGGCGGCGUGCUUAACACAUGCAAGUCGAACGAGAAGAGAUGAGAAGCUUGCUUCUUAUUGAUUCGAGUGGCAAACGGGUGAGUAACGCGUAAGCAACCUGCCCUUCAGAUGGGGGACAACAGCUGGAAACGGCUGCUAAUACCGAAUACGUUCUUUUUGUCGCAUGGCAGAGGGGAAGAAAGGGAGGCUCUUCGGAGCUUUCGCUGAAGGAGGGGCUUGCGUCUGAUUAGCUAGUUGGAGGGGUAACGGGUCCCGACCAAGGCGACGAUCAGUAGCCGGUCUGAGAGGAUGAACGGCCACAUUGGGACUGAGACACGGCCCAGACUCCCUACGGGAGGCAGCAGUGGGGAAUCUUCCGCAAUGGACGAAAGUCUGACGGAGCAACGCCGCGUGAACGAUGACGGCCCUUC
RNAcentral lists this ribosomal RNA (420 nucleotides) under uncultured bacterium. RNAcentral's name for it is "bacterial SSU rRNA". It matches the Rfam family "Bacterial small subunit ribosomal RNA", at positions 28 to 420 of the family's 1533-position model. The record is from RNAcentral.